AGCAGCCGCGGUAAUUCCAGCUCCAAUAGCGUAUAUUAAAGUUGUUGCAGUUAAAAAGCUCGUAGUUGAACCUUAGGCCCGUGCGGGCGGUCCGUCCUCAGGGCGAGCACUGCCUCGUCGCGGGUCUCACCUUCUGGCGAGCGUGGAUGCCAUUCAUUUGGUGUCUGCGGGAACCAGGACCUUUACCUUGAAAAAAUUAGAGUGCUCAAAGCGGGCUCUUACGCUUGAAUACAUUAGCAUGGAAUAAUGAAAUAGGACGACGGUUCUAUUUUGUUGGUUUCCGGGAUUGUCGUAAUGAUUAAUAGGGAUAGUUGGGGGCAUUCGUAUUCAAUUGUCAGAGGUGAAAUUCUUGGAUUUAUUGAAGACGGACUACUGCGAAAGCAUUUGCCAAGGAUGUUUUCAUUAAUCAAGAACGAAAGUUGGGGGAUCGAAGACGAUCAGAUACCGUCGUAGUCUCAACCAUAAACUAUGCCCGACUGGGGAAUCGGGCGAUGUUAUUUUUCGUGACUCGCUCGGGCGA
This 520-nucleotide ribosomal RNA is filed under the name uncultured Paraglomus. RNAcentral describes it as "SSU rRNA". It matches the Rfam family "Eukaryotic small subunit ribosomal RNA", at positions 569 to 1086 of the family's 1831-position model. The record is from RNAcentral. Lineage: Eukaryota; Fungi; Glomeromycota; Glomeromycetes; Paraglomerales; Paraglomeraceae.